Pimephales promelas (fathead minnow) is the source of this 603-nucleotide non-coding RNA. The record is from RefSeq and is a predicted model, not a curated record. Lineage: Eukaryota; Metazoa; Chordata; Actinopteri; Cypriniformes; Leuciscidae.
AGGCCUCUUCCUCCAAACAGCUGGAUCUUUUGAGACAUGCUUUGACAGGUGCCUGGAUCUGGACCUCUCCAAUUUGAGGAGGCCUAGGUCUGUUGAUGAGCAUAUGUGAUUACAUGAGGCUGGAGAUGGAAGAUGAAGUGUGAAAAUGGAGCGACCUGUGGGAGUCUCACAGCCUGAGAAAAUCAAUAUUACUUUCCUUGAGAUCCUAUUUUUCUCAGCAUCUGCAAGGUAUAGAUUCCCACAUCUGCCAUGAUGGUUGUGGACUCGGCUGAUGUCCAGUCUGUAAUGAGUUGUUUCGAUGGAUCUGCACAGGAAGAUUGUGACAGUAAAGAUAACGCUGUGAUUGUGGGAGGAUCGUGGUGGAUAUGGCGACAGAGGAGCAGUCCCCAGACCCCUCACAUCUUUACCAACAGCUGCUUUCAACCGGAAAGAUGAGAGCUGAAGCCUGACUGAAGUGACAGCACGUCUGGAAAAAAAAGCACUUUUCUGUGUCCUUGAGCAGCCGGGAGAGAAAGUCUCUUGAUGUCUGAGUAGGCAAAACUCACACUCGUGCACACUACAAUAGUGUGAGAGGUGUCUAAGUGUUGCUCUGAUCGCCUUGAG